Molecule: RNA transcript, 862 nt
Organism: Gossypium raimondii (Peruvian cotton)
Lineage: Eukaryota; Viridiplantae; Streptophyta; Magnoliopsida; Malvales; Malvaceae
Gene name: phosphoinositide phosphatase SAC2
Exons: 3
Source: RefSeq, a predicted model, not a curated record
GCUUUCUCUUUGUCAAAAAAGACUUCUGUUCUGUUCGGUAUUUGCAGGGAAAAAAAAGAUAAUGUGUUUGGUAUUUUUGUUUUCGUUUUAAAUUUUUUAAAGAAAAGGAGAUGAAGAAAAAGAAGAAAAAUGGGGAAGAAAAAUGCUGCAACUAUGGGUAAUUUAGCCCGACUUUACCCUACUUUUUAAACCAUGGCAUGAGAUAGGCUAGUCUCCCAAUAUUUCCUUAACCGAAGAGGGGAAAACCCUAAUUUUGUCUCUCCCAAGGGACGAAAGGAAGGGAAAAAUGGUGUUUUACUUCAAAGCGCGGGCAGAAGCUGGUAAUUACAUCAUUUUCAUGGGUCUUGACAAGUACAAGAACGCGGAGCUCAUCAAAUAUGGCUUCAUCGAAGAUAUCUGGCUGCUGUUCAUAAAGAACCAAUCUUUUCCAUUCCUAGAACUCCAGCAAUAGUUCAGCAUGAAAUUUUAAAUAACAGAAGGCAUGUAUUAACUAAGGUACAAGAAGCUCCUAAGCUCAGUGGAUCUUACAAAGGACUUCUUCUUCAGCUAUUCAUACAAUGUUAUGUGUAGUCUUCAAAAGAAAUUGUAUAAUAACGAACCAGGUGAGGUUCUUUAUGAGACCAGGAGUUUCAAACUUUUGCUCAUUGCAAGACGAUCCCGUCACUAUGAACCUGCGAAGAGGUAAUCACUUAGGAAUAGUUAAAAAAGACGCAAGUAUUCAACUAGUAACUGGAACACGCAGCUAUAUAUGAAUGAAUUAGAUUUUAAAUUCGGUUUGAUGCACAUGAUUUUUUAAUUAUAUAUGAAUGAAUUAGAAAUUUGGUUUGAUGCACAUAGCCAAACAGAGUAUUGUUUUGUAACU